RNAcentral lists this small RNA (125 nucleotides) under Arabidopsis thaliana (thale cress). RNAcentral describes it as "ATSL213690". The record is from RNAcentral. Lineage: Eukaryota; Viridiplantae; Streptophyta; Magnoliopsida; Brassicales; Brassicaceae.
AAAGAAAGUAAGUAAGUCAUCAGCUUGAUAGAAAUUAUUUGUAUUGACUUAAAGAUGUUUAAUUAGUUUAUUUUUAUCAUUGGUGACCGAUCAUUAUCUUUAUACUAUUUUAUUCGGUUAUAGUA